This 99-nucleotide small RNA is filed under the name Escherichia coli. RNAcentral's name for it is "partial RtT sRNA". It matches the Rfam family "RtT RNA", at positions 1 to 95 of the family's 130-position model. Rfam says of the family: This family represents a bacterial cis-regulatory element known as RtT RNA. The exact function of RtT is unknown although it is thought that it may be involved in changing the cellular response in relation to amino acid starvation. The record is from RNAcentral. Lineage: Bacteria; Pseudomonadati; Pseudomonadota; Gammaproteobacteria; Enterobacterales; Enterobacteriaceae.
UGCAUCUGCAGCUCAUGAGGAUGAGAACCUCCGGGGGCAGGGAGGUUCGACUCGAGCGAAGCGAGAGAACGUUGCGCCAGCAACGGCCCGCAGGGCGAG